AUGGAAUCGAACCGACUCGGGUACGAAUAUCCCUGUGACACGAAGAUAAAACCGAUCGCGAUCGCAUCGCUGCUCGCGCAGCCGACGCAGACGAUGAUCGGCGACGACCGGCUGUCCGACCUCCCCGACGACCUUCUCCGGCGCGUCUUGCACUUCGCCCCAGCCAAGGAGGCCGCCUCCACGACCGCGCUCUCGCGGCGCUGGUGCACGCCGCUCUGGCGCUCCACCGGCGCCGUAAACCUCGAGUCGCGCGUCCACGACAACGACCGCCACCACCACCGCCGCAACAUCGACAGACGAGAUGACGAGGCCGGAUUUGUGUCCCGGCGCGAAGCCUUCGUCUCCGCGGCCAUGGUGGCGCUCGACGCCGCGGCCGCCGACGACCACGUCACCAGACUCACCUUACGCCUCAAGUCUGACAGCGACGCCACGGUUGCCGAGUUCCUGAACGGCAGCUCCGACAGGCGCCUACAAGCUCACCCUCGACAAGCUGCCGUGGGAGACCCUCCGCGUGCUGGAUCUCACCAACAGUCAGGGCCUCUACCAGCCGAAGAAGGCCGCCGCGCUGUGGUGCUCCCGAGGCUGUCGUCGCUCAGGCUGCGGCAUUGUGGUCAGCACCUUGUCUCUCUCCAGAGCAUCAUCGACGCCGCGCCGGUGCUCGCCGCUGUCCGCCUCGAGUCCGUCCUGAUCGACGCAACAAACCACGACAAUUGCUGGGGCUGCGGUAACAAGAUCGACCGCUGGGCCGGCAGCGAUGAAGACGACGACGACGACGAUGCACCUCAAUCGCCGCCCAAAGAAGCUGCACCCUGCCGCCUCCGAUGCCCAGCGGCCACCCUGCUCGUGCUGGAGAGGUGCAAGUGGGAGGAGAAGGAACAUGGGCGCCACGGCCACUCGUACCGUGACAACGAUGACGACAAGCUUGUCAACCUGAUCGCUGCGGAGAUCGAGGCGCCGAGGCUGCGCCGCUUCAGGUACAAGGGAUAUCUCCGGCCGUUCUCAUUCAGUUCACAGCCACCGGAGUUGGAACAAGUGGACCUCGAUUCUUUCCCGUGCGACGACGACGAGAACCACAAGAACAAGGAACCAAACCGCGUCCUAGCGACCAUCUGGCGAUUGGUUCGGAGCUUCACCAGCGCCAGGGAGAUGAAGCUAAGGCUGAACCACCUCGAGGACAUCGCCGUCCUGAGAGAGGCAAGGCAGGUCGAGCUCCUGCCUGCAUUCCGCCGCCUCGAGCGACUCGAGCUGCAAGGGGUGCACAGGCCGAAAGGCAAGACCGCGUCGGUGACGAUCGCGAACCUGCUCCGCCGCUGCCCCGUGCUUCUUGACCUCUGGAUCAACCUCACUGCGGAGGACCAAAACGCCCGCAAAAAUUAUCAGCACGCACAUGAAUUCUUCGAAAGGAAAUUCCGGUAUGACCGUGACAAGUCCAAGGAUCGUCUUGACCACUGCUGCCGCGACUCGGAGCCUGACACGAUUUCGCCGGAAGGAGAAGGCGAUGGUGUUAAUUACUAUGACGAAGUUUCUGAAAUUCCUGCCUUGAGUCGACACUCGUUCGAAUGCUUGCAGAGCUCACUAAGGAGAGUGUGCCUGCAAUUCCAGUUGGAGAAGUCCAACUGUCUCGGUCUCCAGCUGAUCAAAUUCUUCGCCGAGAACGCCAUGGUCCUUGAAGAAAUGCAUAUCGAUGUUGGGAACGGGAAGCUGUGGGAGCACAUGAAUAGCAAGAUCGAAACAUGGAUAGCCAAUUCAUGCAAAAGAAAUAAGCCAGGAGCGUCAAGAGAUGGCUAUACAAAGAAUGAGAUUUGUGAGUUUUUGACAUGUAUACCUUUU
RNAcentral lists this ribosomal RNA (1830 nucleotides) under Triticum aestivum (bread wheat). Its description in RNAcentral is "partial small subunit ribosomal RNA". Lineage: Eukaryota; Viridiplantae; Streptophyta; Magnoliopsida; Poales; Poaceae. The record is from RNAcentral.